UGGCAAGAGGGUAGGACAGAGUCUGCCUGAGGCACCCGGCCAAAUCUGUGCAGGAAAGGCAUCAGAGGGCAAUGCAUCCCGCUUACCUUUGUAGGGGAUGAAUCAUUUUCUAGAGGUGUUAUUCCUCUGUGUAGAUUUGACAGGGUGCCUGGACAACAGGCUGAGAUUUGGACACCCACUUUCAAAAGUCUUUGGAGAGAUCAGAUGAAUCCCCUUGUAAAAGUCUGGAGAAUUAAUCAAGAAUGAGACCUCUCCGCUAGGUUUCAUAAUCUGCUCAAGGACACUUGGCAGGCAUCAUAUCAUUAUUUCUUGACUUUGACAGGAUAUGUGAAGUACAGAAGAGAGGAUAUUUGCUAGCUGAGUCUCCAGGAAUUUCCACCUGUUCUUCUCCAUGGUGUGAGCCAGAGACUUUGGUCUGGGCACAUCUUGUUAGUAUUCGGGGUCAGAGAAAGGAUGGAACAUUUGACCAGAGAAGUUUUCCUCCUUGGAGACCUCCAAAAGGUGCCUGGAUGUGGUCCUGGACACCCAUCUCUGGAUGGUGCUGCUUGUGCAAGGGGCUUAGACCAGAUGACCUCCAGAUGACUUCCAUCCUCAGCCAUUCUAUUAUUCUGCAUUUGCCAGAUUGCUGCUGUGCGUUGUUCAGAUCGCAGGCCUGCAGAGCAGGAAAGAGUAUUUUAGGAAACGAUUUGCAUUUGAAUACCUGUGUCUCCUUUCUCACCGAAGAUAUUAAUGAAGACAUCCGCAUCUGUUCCACUGCCGCUGACUUCACCCGUGAACACUCGGACCACGUAUUUGUUGACUGCAAGGAGAGAGGCAGAAAUCCCAACUCAUUAAUAGCUGAAUGGUUAAAAAAAGUAAUAGUACAAAUCAAUUCAGGCUGUGCUGUGCUAUCUUGAGAGCACAUCUGAACCACUGCUCCUGGAUCCUUUACACUGACCCUCAAACCCUUUUUUCUCUUUUUCACAAGAGAAAUAAAAUCCACAGACAGAGACCCUGUCAAUGACAUUGUCUAUGGACAGAUAUGCAGAGCUCUGGUACUUUGGGUGUUCACUGCCCAUGGCAAUAGACAGAGAUCACUCAAUUUCAAGCCCUGACACGGCCUUUUUUCCCCAAAAAGUUGAAAUAGGUGAGAGGAAGGUGCAAAUUUUGAUGUUGAUCCGUGGCCAUUAAGUGACCUCAGACCUACACACAGUCAUUGCUUUUUCAAAAACAU
This is a non-coding RNA of Anas platyrhynchos (mallard), 1213 nucleotides long. Lineage: Eukaryota; Metazoa; Chordata; Aves; Anseriformes; Anatidae. The record is from RefSeq and is a predicted model, not a curated record.